UACAGAGGUCCCAAGCGUUGUUCGGAUUCACUGGGCGUAAAGGGUGCGUAGGUGGUGAGGUAAGUCCGAUGUGAAAGCUCCGAGCUCAACUCGGAAAUUGCAUUAGAAACUACCUUGCUAGAGGGUUGGAGGGGGGACUGGAAUUCUCGGUGUAGCAGUGAAAUGCGUAGAUAUCGAGAGGAACACCAGUGGCGAAGGCGAGUCCCUGGACAACUCCUGACACUGAGGCACGAAAGCUAGGGGAGCAAACAGG
RNAcentral lists this ribosomal RNA (253 nucleotides) under uncultured bacterium. RNAcentral describes it as "partial 16S ribosomal RNA". It matches the Rfam family "Bacterial small subunit ribosomal RNA", at positions 524 to 776 of the family's 1533-position model. The record is from RNAcentral.